Molecule: long non-coding RNA, 1165 nt
Organism: Mauremys reevesii (Reeves's turtle)
Lineage: Eukaryota; Metazoa; Chordata; Testudines; Geoemydidae
Exons: 3
Source: RefSeq, a predicted model, not a curated record
GAGCCAAUGGGAAGGUAGAACUUUUUAAAAUUGGCAAAGAAACUUUCCCUUUGUCUGUUCUCUCUGGGCUGGAUGGUCAGAGCAGCCAUGCUAUAAGCAGCUAAACCAGGCCUCACUUCUGCGCUCGGAAUGACAGAACUGGAAUUCAGCCUUGACACCCCCUCACUUGAGAGAUGACUUGGAUCAAGGAACUUGAUAAGCAGGUCUGGAGGAGAUGGGAAAGGAUCUCUGGGACACAGAAGGGAAAGGCUGCAUGAGCUUAUCUGCAAAUGGUCUGAAGGGACUGAUUUAAAGAGAUAUACUUCUCUUUCUGAGCAAGAGAUCAAGAAACUGGAAAUAAAAUGAGCAAAUCUAGUGAAUUUGAACAUAUAUUCUUCAUAUUAAUUCUUUCUCACAAAACACUAAGAACUAAAGUUAUUAAUAGUUUGGGCUACAGCCACAAAGAGAUUUAGAGGCCUGACACUUUCGGAAGAAGGAAGAAGUGGGAAUGCUAAUAAACUUUCUCCUCUCUCAGCCUUUGAAGCCGUCUCCCAGAGAGAUAUGCAUAUAUAAGUUCAAACUGGAUUCUCCAGAGACCAACAGACAAAAAAAAAAAAAGACUUUUGGGUAAAACUCUUGGUUUUAUAUUGACUCAGGGCCUUCCUCUUGAUCCAGCACAUAAACAGGACCCCUAGUCCACAGAGGAGUGCAAUCUUUAGGGGAGGUUUGGAAGGACUUGAGCUACUGAGGCCCCAUAAGACUGUGUGCUUGUUCUUGGCAGAAGCUCUGAUGAACUUAUAACCAGAAAGAAACCUAUAGGGUGGGGUGAUGCCUGGUAAGCUUAUCAGCAUGUGCGUAGGUUCUUGUUAGUGUUUUUAAUGUCUUUUUUUUUUUUUUUUUGGUAAUGCUUUUUACCUUUAGAAUAAAGCAGGCUUGCUUAGAAAAAACUGUGCGGUAAUUUCUAUCUGUAGCAAUCUCUCUGUUCUCACUCUCUGAGGAGAAGGCAGGCAGGCCUGUUUAGGCAGACUGUCUUCGCUGGGAAAUACACAGAGAAGCAGUAAAUACAGAACAAAUACCGAGGCACAUGUGUAUCUGGUGUUUACACCUCUAUAGAAACAUGAACGCCAUGCAAUUAUGUUUAGAGUUUAUGCAAGCAGUUUAUAUCUAUCAGGCUCUGCUUGCUGCU